This 30-nucleotide non-coding RNA is filed under the name Mus musculus (house mouse). Lineage: Eukaryota; Metazoa; Chordata; Mammalia; Rodentia; Muridae. The record is from RNAcentral.
UGUCAACCAAUAGAGGCAUCGGGUUGAUUC